GACGAACGCUGGCGGCGUGCCUAAUACAUGCAAGUCGAGCGAACAGACGAGGCGCUUGCUCCUCUGACGUUAGCGGAGGACGGGUGUGACACACGUGGAUCCCCUCCCUAACAGACUGGUAAAACUUGGGGACACCGGCGCUAAUCGGGGAUAAUCUCUUGCACCAUGUGGUUGAAUAGAAAAAGUCGGCUUUGCUGGCACUUAUAGCUGGAUCCUAGCCGGAUUAGCUAGUUGGUAAGGUAAAGGCUUACCACGGGUACGCUGCGUAGCCGACCGGAGAGGGUGAUCGCCCACACUGGAACUUGGACACGGUCCAUACGCCUGCGAUAGGCAGCAGAAGGGAAUCUUCCGCAAUGGGCGAAAGCCUUACGGAGCAACGCCGCGUGAGUGAUGAAGGUCUUCGGAUCGUAAAGCUCUGUUACGAGUUAUGAACAAAUGUGUAAGUAACUAUACACGUCGUGACGGUACCGAAUCAGAAAGCCACGGCUAACUACGUG
This 497-nucleotide ribosomal RNA is filed under the name uncultured bacterium. RNAcentral describes it as "partial 16S ribosomal RNA". It matches the Rfam family "Bacterial small subunit ribosomal RNA", at positions 28 to 507 of the family's 1533-position model. The record is from RNAcentral.